AGUAAUGGCCAUACGACGCUGAACACACCCCAUCUCAAUGGUCUCAGCAGCUGAACAGGGUCAGGUCUGGUUAGGACUUGGAUGGGAGACAGAUCUUCAGAGAAGACUGCUC
Ribosomal RNA from Castor canadensis (American beaver), 112 nucleotides. The record is from Ensembl. Lineage: Eukaryota; Metazoa; Chordata; Mammalia; Rodentia; Castoridae.